This 2384-nucleotide long non-coding RNA is filed under the name Salmo salar (Atlantic salmon). RNAcentral describes it as "lncRNA (ENSSSAG00000113970.1)". The record is from RNAcentral. Lineage: Eukaryota; Metazoa; Chordata; Actinopteri; Salmoniformes; Salmonidae.
GAUGAAUACAGAGAACAAUUUGCCUCCAUGCGUUCUUCCUGAGGGUGGAGACACGGUGUUUAAAUACAAGCUGUUUCUUUGAAAGGCUGAGGUGCUGAUCUCCAGCGGAGAAUGGAGGUGAUGUUCUGUAUACUGUAGUCCACACACAGUGGGACAAAGCAGGAGCAGAUCAGCCAAAUGUAGUCAGGCAAGCAUGCUGGUCCGCUACUAUACAGCUACUUGUUUAACAGGACAGGAAUACAGUGAGACAGUGGUCAACAUGAACAGAAUAGUGUGUGUCUUAUUUGAACAAUAAAAUGCAUUGUGAAUAAUACAUAUAGUGACUUUUAUCACAUUUAAAAAGGAACUACAUGAUUUGUCACAAUUAUUGAUACAGUUGCUAAUUUCCCUAUGAUUAUCAAGGCAUAAGAAUAUAGAUGCAGUCUUAAUGCAUUAAGGGGUUAAUUGGAGGUGUUUUCAAUUGGGUUUUCACAAUGCAUGCAAAACAUGUGGAAGGCGUUUAACCAGAUCUAGUCCCAACAGGCAACAGCUGUGAUAUCUAUCUCUCUAAUAUGAACAGGUAUAUAGUAUAUUGCAUAGUCAAAUAUAUAUGUUGAAUGGCUCGGUGGAAGAUUGGCUGGAGUUGUGGUGUGCCCUUUAAAAAAAAAAAUCUUCAGGGACUUUCAAAUUCAGUCUCCUCGAUGGUGACGUCACCGAUGUUCAGAAUAUUGACAGGCCACCUGUCGGGCGAGCUGCUCUUUAAAGCGGCAGGACUGUAACAACGCUAGACUUCUCUCUCUACACAUGGCAACGAGACGGCCCGUCAUCUUUCUUCCUCAACAGAUAGCAAGAGAGUCAGCGACAAGUAAACAGAGGAACAGAGCAGGUAGACAGAGGGAGAGAAGGGAGUGCUAUAGGUUGGCGCUAAUUCAUGAUGUGCAGUUUAUACCAUCUGAACAUGAUAGUCCUUCUCUGCAAACCAGUGACGCGUGAGGCAUCAGCAAACCAGGGAGGAUUGAAGGAAGAAAUGCACGCUGUGUCUAAGUACUCUGAAGGUAAGAUACUUGUAUUUAUUGUGUGUGUGUGAGAGAGAGAGAGAGAGAGAGAGAGAGAGAGAGAGAGAGUUUAUGUUGGGGUCGGGGUGAAAGGAGAGAGGAUGCCGGACAGUGCAACAGGUCGGCUGUAGCAAGCAAAAACCAAGCACUCACACGGCUUUUUCCUCCACCGACACAGUAAGCUACUUGGGCUACAUUCGCUGGUCAAAAGCAUUGGUAAAGAGCCCCCGAUUGAAAUAGAUGUAUUGUAGGCUAGGUACCGUUUAUAUAUUUCCCAUAAACCAUGACCUUUCGAACCGUAGACUACAUUAUAUAUUUAUUCACGAUUCCUAGGAUUAGGUUUGAGCAGCUGUAGUGCGCCUCUAUCAAACGGAUUUGCAAUUAAUUAUUUGUAAAAACGUCUGCUACUUUGCUUUCCGAUAAGCAGGCUAUAUGUAACCAUUGCCAUUUCUGACACGUCAUUUAUUAUUGCUUAAUGCCACUUCACCGAUAGAUAAACCAUCCAUAACACACACAGCACUAUCAUCUGCGGUUCAGCACCACCGAUGUGGACAGCUCCUUUCUCUAGAUGUUGGUUGUAAUUGGCCUGUUAGUUGCCCACUGUAUAUGAUCCACGGUAAACACAACAAAACUAGUAGAUAUAUUUUCUAGAAAUCAUAUUUGCAUAACAAUUGAAGGUUAACGAGUAUACCUGUUCGUUGUUCCUGUUUAACCAAUUGAAGUGGCAGAAUAGGGCACCUGUACUUAUUGAUGCAUUAUGUUAAACUGGUUGAGAAAAGGAGUAGCAUAUAAUAUGAGCAAACAUGUAUAACAAACAGGUUAGUUAAAUGAAUUCAGUGGGUUUGGAACAAAGCAGUAUACAUAAAUGUAGAAAUGAACCAAACCAAUUCAUCAGGAGUCAAUCUUUGAUGUCUGAUUGUUUGUGGAGAAAUGAUUUAUCAUAUUGAUGCCUCUGGCCCCCUCAAGGCUAAACAGAUAUGUGCAAGCAGGGAUGCAUCUGCCAGGAGCACAUCACGAGAAAUUCAGUCUCAGCUCUAACCUUGAAGAGGGCAAUCUGCUUCUGAAAGAGCAGCUCUUUAGAAGCGCCACAGGGGGAGGAGCCCCAGCAUCUGAACUGUCCUUUCAUCAGCCUGUCAGGGCAGGGAGCUGGUCACCCACACUGAGAAAGAGCACCCAGACUCCUCAUCACCACACAACUCAGAUAUAUAUAGAGAAAGAAGAAAUCCACAACAGCCGAGAUGAAAUGAGACAGGAAAGAACACAGCUGAUCAGAGGAAGGGAGAGCAAACAAUCCCUCCAAAUGCACUAAUCUUUCUCUGCUCCAAUAAAAACAAACCUGUUCAAUGUCAG